Long non-coding RNA from Balaenoptera ricei (Rice's whale), 239 nucleotides. RefSeq lists it as uncharacterized. The transcript has 3 exons. Lineage: Eukaryota; Metazoa; Chordata; Mammalia; Artiodactyla; Balaenopteridae. The record is from RefSeq and is a predicted model, not a curated record.
UGGUACGGAUGCCUGUUACGUGGCAGCCCUCUGUGAGGUAACACUGAUGGCAGUACUACAUCGUGAAGAGUUCACACUUUGGGAUGAGGUUACAGACUCCGAACGUUUAGGUGAGGACAUUGUCCCCAGAAAUACAUGUGAUGCUCAGUCUUCUUGUGAUUAAGUUCUCACCAAUGAGAGCCUGGAGUAUGAACGUGAUAGCUGGAACCCUAGCAGGCAUCCUGAACCAUGAGGUGAUC